RNAcentral lists this non-coding RNA (48 nucleotides) under Erwinia tasmaniensis. RNAcentral's name for it is "Guanidine-II sequence". It matches the Rfam family "Guanidine-II riboswitch aptamer (mini-ykkC)". Rfam says of the family: Simpler in structure and has fewer highly conserved nucleotide positions than the ykkC-yxkD leader. Despite this each of its two stem-loop structures directly bind free guanidine. Therefore, mini-ykkC RNA motif represents a distinct class of guanidine-sensing RNAs. The record is from Rfam by way of RNAcentral. Lineage: Bacteria; Pseudomonadati; Pseudomonadota; Gammaproteobacteria; Enterobacterales; Erwiniaceae.
GGUUGAGGACGACCUCAACGUUUUCAGAUAUAUGACGGGACGACCCGC